This 460-nucleotide ribosomal RNA is filed under the name uncultured bacterium. RNAcentral describes it as "bacterial SSU rRNA". It matches the Rfam family "Bacterial small subunit ribosomal RNA", at positions 29 to 506 of the family's 1533-position model. The record is from RNAcentral.
AUGAAUGCUGGCGGCGUGUCUAAGGCAUGCAAGUCGAACGGAUGUAUUUUUGUAGCAAUACAGGAGUGGCGAAAGGGUGAGGAACACGUGAGUAACCUACCCCCAAGUUGGGAAUAACACCGGGAAACUGGUGCUAAUACCGAAUGUGGCUGAUGAACCGCAUGGUUUAUCAGCUAAAGAUUUAUCGCUUGGGGAGGGGCUCGCGUCCCAUUAGCUAGUUGGUGAGGUAACGGCUCACCAAGGCAACGAUGGGUAGCUGGUCUGAGAGGAUGGCCAGCCACACUGGGACUGAGACACUGCCCAGACUCCUACGGGAGGCUGCAGUCGAGAAUCUUGGGCAAUGCGCGAAAGCGUGACCCAGCAAUGCCGCGUGCAGGAUGAAGGCCUUCGGGUUGUAAACUGCUGUCACCCGGGACGAAGAAUUGACGGUACCGGGAGAGGAAGCCACGGCUAACUACGU